This 253-nucleotide ribosomal RNA is filed under the name uncultured bacterium. RNAcentral's name for it is "partial 16S ribosomal RNA". It matches the Rfam family "Bacterial small subunit ribosomal RNA", at positions 524 to 776 of the family's 1533-position model. The record is from RNAcentral.
UACGAAGGGGGCUAGCGUUGCUCGGAAUUACUGGGCGUAAAGCGCACGUAGGCGGCUUUCUAAGUCAGGGGUGAAAUCCUGGAGCUCAACUCCAGAACUGCCUUUGAUACUGGAGAGCUUGAGUCCGGAAGAGGUGAGUGGAACUCCGAGUGUGGAGGUGAAAUUCGUAGAUAUUCGGAAGAACACCAGUGGCGAAGGCGGCUCACUGGUCCGGUACUGACGCUGAUGUGCGAAAGCGUGGGGAGCAAACAGG